RNAcentral lists this ribosomal RNA (459 nucleotides) under uncultured Streptococcus sp. RNAcentral describes it as "partial 16S ribosomal RNA". It matches the Rfam family "Bacterial small subunit ribosomal RNA", at positions 341 to 792 of the family's 1533-position model. The record is from RNAcentral. Lineage: Bacteria; Bacillati; Bacillota; Bacilli; Lactobacillales; Streptococcaceae.
ACGGGAGGCAGCAGUAGGGAAUCUUCGGCAAUGGGGGGAACCCUGACCGAGCAACGCCGCGUGAGUGAAGAAGGUUUUCGGAUCGUAAAGCUCUGUUGUAAGAGAAGAAUGUUGGUGAGAGUGGAAAGUUCACCAAGUGACGGUAUCUUACCAGAAAGGGACGGCUAACUACGUGCCAGCAGCCGCGGUAAUACGUAGGUCCCGAGCGUUGUCCGGAUUUAUUGGGCGUAAAGCGAGCGCAGGCGGUUUCGUAAGUCUGAGGUCAAAGGCAUUGGCUCAACCAAUGUACGCCUUGGAAACUGCGGAACUUGAGUGCAGAAGGGGAGAGUGGAAUUCCAUGUGUAGCGGUGAAAUGCGUAGAUAUAUGGAGGAACACCGGUGGCGAAAGCGGCUCUCUGGUCUGUAACUGACGCUGAGGCUCGAAAGCGUGGGUAGCGAACAGGAUUAGAUACCCUGGUA